GGAUCAUUAUUGAAGUUAAAGGGAGAUUGCUUUCGAGCAUCUUCCGAUUUUUUCAGAUCUUACACACCUGUGCAUCGUUGUCGAGUUCGCUCGAUGGCAAAACUUUUAAACACACACGAAAAUGUUGAGAAAGUCUAAACUAUAAAAUAAAACACAACUUUUGACAACGGAUCUCUUGGUUCUCCCAUCGAUGAAGAACGCAGCGAAAUGCGAUAAGUAAUGUGAAUUGCAGAAUUCAGUGAAUCAUCGAAUCUUUGAACGCACCUUGCGCUCCUUGGUAUUCCUUGGAGCAUGCCUGUUUGAGUGUCUUGAAAUUCUCUACUAUCCAACUUUUUUCACGAAGAGCUGGACAAGUAGGUGCCUGGGCUUGCUUGCGGUUUGGUUACAGACACACGCUCGCCUUAAAUGCAUUAGCUGGACUUCAGUAGAGUUGUUAAGUAACAUUGAAAACUCUUGUCAUCGAAGUCUGCUUUCGAACCUGUCUCCUCUUCUGAGGUAGAUUUUUUUUUCAAUUUUGGGGCCUCAAAUCAGGUAGGACUA
Molecule: unclassified non-coding RNA, 540 nt
Filed under: Exobasidium camelliae-oleiferae
Lineage: Eukaryota; Fungi; Basidiomycota; Exobasidiomycetes; Exobasidiales; Exobasidiaceae
Description: ITS1, 5.8S rRNA, ITS2
Rfam family: 5.8S ribosomal RNA (bases 156-309)
Source: RNAcentral